This 118-nucleotide small nucleolar RNA is filed under the name Sorex araneus (European shrew). RNAcentral describes it as "Small nucleolar RNA SNORA51 (ENSSARG00000019700.1)". It matches the Rfam family "Small nucleolar RNA SNORA51". Rfam says of the family: ACA51 is a member of the H/ACA class of snoRNA that guide the sites of modification of uridines to pseudouridines. The record is from RNAcentral. Lineage: Eukaryota; Metazoa; Chordata; Mammalia; Eulipotyphla; Soricidae.
GGGCCCCUGGAGCUUCCCACAGGCUUUACACAACUGUGUAGGAAGAGGCGUCACAGUCUUUGGCCCCAUAUACUUGGCAGCCCUUUGUCUGGUCUGUACUGUGAAUGGAGGGACAUGA